UAGGUUUUGCUUUAAAAAUGCCAUUACUUGAGAAACAUGAAAAUAGUGAGCAGUUGCUGGUGAAAAGUGAAUCCUAUCUGCAGAUUUUAAAAAACAAAGAUCAGAGAAAGAGGCUUGUACAUGAAAUCUGCACCUUUUUGGACAGCAGCCAAUCUGUACAGGAGAUUGAUGCUUUGAGAACAGAAAAUAGGAAGCUAAAAAAUGCG
This is a long non-coding RNA of Candoia aspera, 206 nucleotides long. RefSeq lists it as uncharacterized. Lineage: Eukaryota; Metazoa; Chordata; Lepidosauria; Squamata; Candoiidae. The record is from RefSeq and is a predicted model, not a curated record. The transcript is spliced from 4 exons.